This 478-nucleotide ribosomal RNA is filed under the name uncultured bacterium. RNAcentral's name for it is "partial 16S ribosomal RNA". It matches the Rfam family "Bacterial small subunit ribosomal RNA", at positions 28 to 507 of the family's 1533-position model. The record is from RNAcentral.
GAUGAACGCUGGCGGCGUGCUUAACACAUGCAAGUCGAACGGGAAUUAUUUUAUUGAAACUUCGGUCGAUUUCAUUUAAUUCUAGUGGCGGACGGGUGAGUAACGCGUGGGUAACCUGCCUUAUACAGGGGGAUAACAGUCAGAAAUGGCUGCUAAUACCGCAUAAGCGCACAGAGCUGCAUGGCUCAGUGUGAAAAACUCCGGUGGUAUAAGAUGGACCCGCGUUGGAUUAGCUGGUUGGUGGGGUAACGGCCCACCAAGGCGACGAUCCAUAGCCGGCCUGAGAGGGUGAACGGCCACAUUGGGACUGAGACACGGCCCAGACUCCUACGGGAGGCAGCAGUGGGGAAUAUUGCACAAUGGGGGAAACCCUGAUGCAGCGACGCCGCGUGAAGGAAGAAGUAUCUCGGUAUGUAAACUUCUAUCAGCAGGGAAGAUAGUGACGGUACCUGACUAAGAAGCCCCGGCUAACUACGUG